UCCGGAUUAGAUACCCUGGUAGUCCACGCCCUAAACGAUGUCGACUGGUUGUUGGGGGUUUGACACUCUCAGUAACGAAGCUAACGCGUGAAGUCGACCGCCUGGGGAGUACGGCCGCAAGGUUAAAACUCAAAGGAAUUGACGGGGACCCGCACAAGCGGUGGAUUAUGUGGAUUAAUUCGAUGCAACGCGAAAAACCUUACCUACCCUUGACAUGUCCUGGAGGCCCCUGAAAGGGGGCUGUGCCCGAAAGGGAACGGGAACACAGGUGCUGCAUGGCUGUCGUCAGCUCGUGUCGUGAGAUGUUGGGUUAAGUCCCGCAACGAGCGCAACCCUUGUCAUUAGUUGCUACAUUCAGUUGGGCACUCUAAUGAGACUGCCGGUGACAAACCGGAGGAAG
RNAcentral lists this unclassified non-coding RNA (400 nucleotides) under uncultured Gammaproteobacteria bacterium. RNAcentral describes it as "contains 16S-23S intergenic spacer region". It matches the Rfam family "Bacterial small subunit ribosomal RNA", at positions 772 to 1172 of the family's 1533-position model. The record is from RNAcentral. Lineage: Bacteria; Pseudomonadati; Pseudomonadota; Gammaproteobacteria.